UUGCCUCAGUAACGGCGAGUGAAGCGGCAAAAGCUCAGAUUUGAAAUCUGGCGUCUUCGGCGUCCGAGUUGUAAUCUGUAGAGGAUGCCUUUGGGUGGCCACCGGUCUAAGUCCCCUGGAACGGGGUGUCACAGAGGGUGAGAAUCCCGUAUGUGACCGGGAAGGCGCCCUAUACAUGGCUCCUUCGACGAGUCGAGUUGUUUGGGAAUGCAGCUCUAAAUGGGAGGUAAAUUCCUUCUAAAGCUAAAUACCGGCCAGAGACCGAUAGCGCACAAGUAGAGUGAUCGAAAGAUGAAAAGCACUUUGGAAAGAGAGUUAAAAAGCACGUGAAAUUGUUGAAAGGGAAGCGCUUGCAACCAGACUUGUUGGCGGUGUUCCGCCGGUCUUCUGACCGGUCUACUCACCGUCUGCAGGCCAGCAUCAUCUGGGGCCGCUGGAUAAAAGCGGAGGGAAUGUGGCUCCUCCGGGAGUGUUAUAGCCCUCUGUGUAAUACAGCGAGUCCCGGGUGAGGUCCGCGCUUCGGCUAGGAUGCUGGCGUAAUGGUCGUAAGCGGCCCGUCUUGAAACACGGACCAAGGAGUCUAACAUCUAUGCGAGUGUUCGGGUGUCAAACCCCUACGCGUAAUGAAAGUGAACGGAGGUGGGAACCUUUUAGGUGCACCAUCGACCGAUCCUGAUGUCUUCGGAUGGAUUUGAGUAAGAGCAUAGCUGUUGGGACCCGAAAGAUGGUGAACUAUGCCUGGAUAGGGUGAAGCCAGAGGAAACUCUGGUGGAGGCUCGCAGCGGUUCUGACGUGCAAAUCGAUCGUCAAAUUUGGGUAUAGGGGCGAAAGACUAAU
This 837-nucleotide ribosomal RNA is filed under the name Leptoxyphium sp. RNAcentral's name for it is "partial large subunit ribosomal RNA". It matches the Rfam family "Eukaryotic large subunit ribosomal RNA", at positions 75 to 935 of the family's 3401-position model. Lineage: Eukaryota; Fungi; Ascomycota; Dothideomycetes; Capnodiales; Capnodiaceae. The record is from RNAcentral.